GAUGAACGCUGGCGGCGUGCUUAACACAUGCAAGUCGAACGGUGAAGGCGGAGCUUGCUCUGCUGGAUCAGUGGCGAACGGGUGAGUAACACGUGAGCAAUCUGCCCCUGACUCUGGGAUAAGCGCUGGAAACGGCGUCUAAUACUGGAUACGAGCUGCGAAGGCAUCUUCAGCAGCUGGAAAGAAUUUCGGUCAGGGAUGAGCUCGCGGCCUAUCAGCUUGUUGGUGAGGUAAUGGCUCACCAAGGCGUCGACGGGUAGCCGGCCUGAGAGGGUGACCGGCCACACUGGGACUGAGACACGGCCCAGACUCCUACGGGAGGCAGCAGUGGGGAAUAUUGCACAAUGGGCGAAAGCCUGAUGCAGCAACGCCGCGUGAGGGACGACGGCCCUCGGGUUGUAAACCUCUUUUAGCAGGGAAGAAGCGAAAGUGACGGUACCUGCAGAAAAAGCGCCGGCUAACUACGUG
RNAcentral lists this ribosomal RNA (468 nucleotides) under uncultured bacterium. RNAcentral's name for it is "partial 16S ribosomal RNA". It matches the Rfam family "Bacterial small subunit ribosomal RNA", at positions 28 to 507 of the family's 1533-position model. The record is from RNAcentral.